Molecule: ribosomal RNA, 247 nt
Filed under: uncultured bacterium
Lineage: Bacteria
Description: partial 16S ribosomal RNA
Rfam family: Bacterial small subunit ribosomal RNA
Source: RNAcentral
AUACGUAGGUGGCAAGCGUUAUCCGGAUUUACUGGGUGUAAAGGGCGUGUAGGCGGGAAAGCAAGUCAGGCGUGAAAAUUAUGGGCUCAACCCAUAACCUGCGUUUGAAACUGUUUUUCUUGAGUGACGGAGAGGCAGGCGGAAUUCCGAGUGUAGCGGUGAAAUGCGUAGAUAUUCGGAGGAACACCAGUGGCGAAGGCGGCCUGCUGGACAUUAACUGACGCUGAGGCGCGAAAGCGUGGGGAGC